Molecule: ribosomal RNA, 1356 nt
Filed under: Triticum aestivum (bread wheat)
Lineage: Eukaryota; Viridiplantae; Streptophyta; Magnoliopsida; Poales; Poaceae
Description: partial small subunit ribosomal RNA
Source: RNAcentral
AUGGCGUGCAGCCAAAACUGUUCUUGUGUGGCCUAUGCGUACACCAACCUAAGCAGCGGAAAGUCCGGUGGAGAUGUCACAAGGUGCUUAGUGUGGGCCGAGGAGUUGGUUGACACAGGAAAAAUUCCCACUGAGUUUAGUCAAGUGUGUGGCGACACACUUUAUAUCCGUCUUAGAAGCAUCGCUUCCAAGAAUGAAGAACAAGAGGAUGCGGACAAAAUGAUGGAGAUACCUGCAGAAGAGAGAGAGGUGAUGCGAGAGAUGAGGAAGAGAGAAGAUAAGAGGAGCAGAGAGAGAGAGGGUGUUGUAAGAAGAGAGAGGUGUUCCACUCUGUGUGUCCAGGAGAAACCAGAUGAGAGGCCAAAUAUGUCAUCUGUUGUGUUCAUCCUAGAGAACGGAAGCACUGCACUUCCAACCCCCAAUCGCCCCGCCUACUUUGCGCGACAAAGUAUCGAUCUCCGCCGCCGCCGUCCAUCACUCCUCCCUCUCCCUCGGCCUCCCUUGUCUAGGGUUCCCCGCCACCACUGCGGCAGCCGCCGCCGAAUCCUAGGUCGCCGCACACCGUUGCCGCCUCCGCGAAUCCCCAGGGACGCCACAAGCCACCGCCGUCGCGAAUCACCAGAGACGCCGCACGCCGCCGCGCCGGAUCCCCAGGGAUGCCACCGCCACCGCCGCGGAUCCCCAAGGGUGUGGUCGCGUUGUACUAGACAAAGUGUGGUCGCUGCCGUCCUCUCCUCGUCCGACCUUGACCUCAUCCCUUCGACUCCGGUGACUCCUCUGUGGCCCGGGCGGCCCUGGCCGACGCCGUCACAGCCAACGCCGGCCUCACCUCUGCGGCCUCACGCACUGCCGCCGCCGAGGAGCCGGCCUGAUAGGGUCUGGUGUGAAAGAGUUGGAGCAAGGAGGACGUGUGCGGCCACUUCGCGCUUCGGCGAGAUCCUCAAGGUUGUCAUCGCAGACAAGGGCACUGGAAGAUCCAAGGGCGGCGGAUUCGAAGCGGAGGCGGCCAUUAGGGCGUGCUUGGGUCCGUACCCGGUGAUUGACGGCUGGAGUGCCAACUGCAACCUCGCCUGCCUCAAGGUCCAAGGCGCCACAACGAAAACGCCCACCUCGAUACUCAGCUUCAAGGGAUGUGUCCUGCCACGGCAAGUAUUCAAAUAUAGCAUGUCGUACAAGAAUGCAGUGUUCACAAGUACAUCCACUCACGACCUCUCCCAUGCUGCAGAUGCAGUAAAAAAGCAAAAGCAAAAUUGUUCAUCAUACUUGCAUUGCAAGCACAUCCACUCACGACCUCUCCCAUGCUGCAGCUACAGCCAAUUUGGGGACCCUUUCAUGGACAAGCAGAUGGAGCUGUAG